UACGGAGGGUGCAAGCGUUGUCCGGAAUCACUGGGCGUAAAGGGCGCGUAGGCGGCGUUUUAAGUCGGGGGUGAAAGCCUGUGGCUCAACCACAGAAUGGCCUCGAUACUGGGACGCUUGAGUAUGGUAGAGGUUGGUGGAACUGCGAGUGUAGAGGUGAAAUUCGUAGAUAUUCGCAAGAACACCAGUGGCGAAGGCGGCCAACUGGUCCGAAACUGACGCUGAGGCGCGAAAGCGUGGGGAGCAAACAGGG
Molecule: ribosomal RNA, 253 nt
Filed under: uncultured bacterium
Lineage: Bacteria
Description: partial 16S ribosomal RNA
Rfam family: Bacterial small subunit ribosomal RNA
Source: RNAcentral